This 460-nucleotide ribosomal RNA is filed under the name uncultured bacterium. RNAcentral describes it as "partial 16S ribosomal RNA". It matches the Rfam family "Bacterial small subunit ribosomal RNA", at positions 338 to 795 of the family's 1533-position model. The record is from RNAcentral.
CCUACGGGAGGCAGCAGUGAGGAAUAUUGGUCAAUGGACGCAAGUCUGAACCAGCCAUGCCGCGUGCAGGAAGACGGCUCUAUGAGUUGUAAACUGCUUUUGUACGAGGGUAAACGCAGAUACGCGUAUCUGUCUGAAAGUAUCGUACGAAUAAGGAUCGGCUAACUCCGUGCCAGCAGCCGCGGUAAUACGGAGGAUUCAAGCGUUAUCCGGAUUUAUUGGGUUUAAAGGGUGAGUAGGCGGUCGGAUAAGUUAGAGGUGAAAUCCCGAGGCUCAACUUCGGAAUUGCCUCUGAUACUGUUCGGCGAGAGAGUAGUUGCGGUAGGCGGAAUGUAUGGGGUAGCGGUGAAAUGCUUAGAGAUCAUACAGAACACCGAUUGCGAAGGCAGCUUACCAAGCUACUUCUGACGUUGAGGCACGAAAGCGUGGGGAGCAAACAGGAUUAGAUACCCGGGUAGUC